GUGUAGCUCCAUGGCCUGCUGGGAAAUGUAGUUCGGCUCCAAACAGCUAAUGGGAGGCCGCCAGGCGCGGCGGCUGGGGCGGGACAGUCCCACCCUCACCCCACCCCGCUUUCCCCGGGCUCGACCGGAAGUAGGCUGCCUCUCGGACCGGAAGAUCUGCGAGAGGCUGCGGCUGUUUUCGCCGCAGCAUCCAGGGUGUGUCGAAGGACCGCUGAAGCGAUGCCCAGGAUCCACCCUGUCUUGUUUCCCACCUCCACUUCCCAGUAAUGGCGGCCAGAGAGGAAGCUUGGAAGGCCUAGGGCGAUGAUGCAACUAUCAAAUCUUUCUGGAUUAUCAGGAUUCACAGCCUACCUCAGAUCCCAGGGGGCACCCAGGGAUCUGGUGUUGUGAGGAAAUGCCUGCACAGGUCACCAUUCCUAAGGAUACCAGGUUUUCUGAGUUUUGGGGUCCUUUCUUACCUGAAGAAGGAGGGACUUCUGGACCUGAAGGCUGAUGGAGCUCACUGCCUACCACCUCCCUCAAGGUCUCAGAAGGUUCUUGACCCUCAAUUCCAUUUUUCUUUGAAGGUCCUGUAGAUUCUGGAUGCUCCCAGGUCAUCUGGUCUCCAGACAGUGAUACAUUGGAAAGUGUAUUCCUGAAUACUCCCCCCUUCAGGAUCAUGGACUGUUCUGGAUUCUUGGAGCCUUUCUCUGGAGCCACAGUAGCGCCUACAUCCAGAGUGGCCACUUCACUGGCGGUGGCUGCUGAGUCUGGAUGAUCACUUCUUAUUUUCUCUUGAGGCAGAAGAGUUUCUGGAUUGGGAGGUUCUCUCUCUCCCAAAAAAAAGGUAAAUUCAAGACUUCUGGGUCGCUUCUGCCCUGAAGGUAAAUGUUCUUCAGAGAUCCUGGAUUUUACUCUUCCUAGGGACACAGUAAGGGACUCAGAGUCAAGUCCUUGGAGCCUUCCUAAAGAGCUGGCGUUCCUGCGUAGCAUGCCACUAGGACUCCACUUCUCACCCUGUGGCUUACCAGAGAGUAGGCAUCUCCUGGGGGACAGAGUCAUGCUUCUGGCCCAUGGCUUGCCCAGCACAUCCAGGCCCUCAGAGCCCUUCUGAUCUCUCCGUUUGCCCUGAGGCUUCUUUUGGGGCCCCCUUCCAGCCUCAUGCUGGCUGGGUGGCAGGCUGAGGGCCCCAUCACCACUUUGCCGCUGCCUAACACCUUCCAGGCCAUCUGGUAUCCUCAGGCCCUUGGGCUUAUUCUCCCCAGAGGAACAAGACAUUGCUGAACUGUUCGGGCCACUUUCUUGUAUCAGAUACUCUGCAAAGACAACAGGAUGCAAAGACAUGAAAUUGUGCAGUGUUCAGGGCCAGGGGUCGGGAGAGAAGGGAGAGAAGGAAAAAUCCCCUCAGAAAUUACAGAAGUUCAGAAUGUUCUAGGCAACAACAGUCAAUUACCCUUAAAUAAGAAAAUGCUAAUUAUUUGUUAUAUAUUUCUCAAAUAGUGCUUUUCACACUUCUUUGGCAGGAGAACUUGUUUCCAGUAUAAAGUCUUACACAAAAUUCUUAAUUCAUAAAAUAAAUAAACCCCCUAGUUUACUGGUAUAAAUGUGUGUGUGAUUAUAGGUGUAUAAAACUCACUUAUAAAAUCCAUCAAUAAAGAAGAAUUAAGGUAUUUGGCACAAAAAUUUGAAAACAUUUUGAAGGACAAUUAAAACUUCAGAAACUAA
Molecule: non-coding RNA, 1704 nt
Organism: Leptonychotes weddellii (Weddell seal)
Lineage: Eukaryota; Metazoa; Chordata; Mammalia; Carnivora; Phocidae
Source: RefSeq, a predicted model, not a curated record